GGUGAACGCUGGCGGUAGGCCUAACACAUGCAAGUCGAACGGCAGCACAGUAAGAGCUUGCUCUUACGGGUGGCGAGUGGCGGACGGGUGAGGAAUACAUCGGAAUCUACUUUUUCGUGGGGGAUAACGUAGGGAAACUUACGCUAAUACCGCAUACGACCUACGGGUGAAAGCAGGGGAUCUUCGGACCUUGCGCGAUUGAAUGAGCCGAUGUCGGAUUAGCUAGUUGGCGGGGUAAAGGCCCACCAAGGCGACGAUCCGUAGCUGGUCUGAGAGGAUGAUCAGCGACACUGGAACUGAGACACGGUCCAGACUCCUACGGGAGGCAGCAGUGGGGAAUAUUGGACAAUGGGCGCAAGCCUGAUCCAGCCAUACCGCGUGGGUGAAGAAGGCCUUCGGGUUGUAAAGCCCUUUUGUUGGGAAAGAAAAGCAGCAGGUUAAUACCCCGCUGUUCUGACGGUACCCAAAGAAUAAGCACCGGCUAACUUCGUG
RNAcentral lists this ribosomal RNA (492 nucleotides) under uncultured bacterium. RNAcentral describes it as "partial 16S ribosomal RNA". It matches the Rfam family "Bacterial small subunit ribosomal RNA", at positions 28 to 507 of the family's 1533-position model. The record is from RNAcentral.